GCAAAAUAGCUAGCCUGAAUACAAACAGUAAAAAAUAAACAUAAAUAAUCAGAAAAAGUUAACAAACUAAAACAUUUUUCCACCCAAGUAUGGGCGACAGAAAAGGAAUUAUCAGAGCCAUAGAAAAAGUACCGCAAGGGAAAGCUGAAAAAGAAAUGAAAUAACCCAGUAAAGCACCAAAAAGCAGAGACAAACCCUCGUACCUUUUGCAUCAUGAUUUAGCAAGUAACCCCGAGCAAAGAGAACUUUAGUCCGAACCCCCGAAACCAGGGGAGCUACUACGGGGCAGCCUAAAAGAGCCAACCCGUCUCUGUAGCAAAAGAGUGGGAAGACCCCCUAGUAGAGGUGAUAAGCCUAUCGAACCUGGUUAUAGCUGGUUGCUUAAGAAAUGAAUGUUAGUUCAGCCUUAUAUAAUUCUAAAGCUACACCCCCACCAAUAAAGGAAGAGAAAUGUAUAAGAGUUAGUCAAAGGGGGUACAGCCCCUUUGAAAAAGGACACAACCUUAGUAAGGAGGACAAGGAUCAAAUAGUAAAAGGAACUCUGCCCCAGUGGGCCUGAAGGCAGCCAACUGAAAAGAAAGCGUUAAAGCUCUAGCAGGAAAAUCCCCAUAAUAAGGAUAAAUAAAUCCCAAUCCCCAAAUGUUAUUAAGCCACCCUAUAUUCAUAUAGUGAAGAUUAUGCUAAAAUUAGUAAUAAGAAGAGUAUUCACUCCUCUCCCAGCACAAUUGUAAGUUAGAAAGGACCAACCACUGACAACUAACGGACCCAAAAUAGAGGGUCAAGUAAAAACUAAACAAAUCAAGAAAACCCUACACCAAAUACCGUUAACCCGACACAGGAGUGCUACUAAGGAAAGACUAAAAGGAGAAGAAGGAACUCGGCAAACACAAACCCCGCCUGUUUACCAAAAACAUCGCCUCUCGCUAAAAAGAAGUAUUAGAGGUCCAGCCUGCCCUGUGACAAUGUGUUUAACGGCCACGGUAUUUUAACCGCGCAAAGGUAGCGUAAUCAUUUGUCUUUUAAAUGAAGACCUGUAUGAACGGCUAAACGAGGGUUUAACUGUCUCCUUCCCCCAGUCAAUGAAAUUGAUCUGCCCGUGCAGAACCGGGCAUAAAAACAUAAGACGAGAAGACCCUAUGGAGCUUUAGGCAAAUAAUCAAACGUACCAAACACCUAAAAACUCGAAAAGAAAAUAGAACGGCAAAAAGUAAAACGCCAAUUGAUUAAAGUGCCUUCGGUUGGGGCGACCAUGGAGGAGAGAUAAGCCUCCACGUGGAACCAAGGGGAAACCCUUAAACCAAGAAAAACCUUUCUAAGCAACAGAAAAUCUGACCAAGAAUUUGACCCAGGAUAAUCCUGAUCAACGAACCAAGUUACCCUAGGGAUAACAGCGCAAUCCUUUCCCAGAGUCCAUAUCGACGAAAGGGCUUACGACCUCGAUGUUGGAUCAGGACAUCCUAAUGGUGCAGCCGCUAUUAAGGGUUCGUUUGUUCAACGAUUAAUAGUCCUACGUGAUCUGAGUUCAGACCGGAGUAAUCCAGGUCGGUUUCUAUCUAUGAAUUUACCUACUCCUAGUACGAAAGGACCGGAGUAGGGGGGCCCAUGCUUAAAGCAAGCCCUGCCUCUACCUGCUGAAAACAAAUAAAGCUGGUAAAGAGAAAAACAACUAUAGCUAAAGAUAAUAGCAU
This 1688-nucleotide ribosomal RNA is filed under the name Myroconger compressus (red eel). RNAcentral describes it as "16S rRNA". It matches the Rfam family "Bacterial large subunit ribosomal RNA". The record is from RNAcentral. Lineage: Eukaryota; Metazoa; Chordata; Actinopteri; Anguilliformes; Myrocongridae.